ACCACAAAUAACAGCACGUCGAGGCAUCUGAAAGGCUGUCACCCGCUUGACUAUGAGCUCACCUACUUCCUGGAAGCCGCCCUCCAGAGCGCCUAUGUGAAAAACCUGAAGAAAGGGAACAUCGUGAAGGGCAUGAGAGAGCUCCGGGAGGUGCUGCGGACUGUGGAGACCAAAGCAACUCAGAACUUCAAAGUGAUGGCGGCCAAGCACCUGGCGGGGGUCCUGCUGCACUCCCUGAGUGAGGAGUGCUACUGGAGCCCCCUGUCCCACCCUCUGCCUGAGUUCAUGGGCAAGGAGGAGAGUUCUUUCGCCACUCAGGCCCUGCGGAAACCUCACCUCUAUGAAGGAGACAACCUCUACUGCCCCAAGGACAACAUCGAGGAAGCCCUCCUGCUCCUCCUCAUCAGCGAAUCCAUGGCAACUCGAGAUGUGGUGCUGAGCCGGGUGCCGGAGCAGGAGGAGGACCGGACAGUGAGCUUGCAGAAUGCCG
Molecule: small RNA, 490 nt
Filed under: Pan troglodytes (chimpanzee)
Lineage: Eukaryota; Metazoa; Chordata; Mammalia; Primates; Hominidae
Description: processed transcript
Source: RNAcentral